Molecule: long non-coding RNA, 526 nt
Filed under: Mus musculus (house mouse)
Lineage: Eukaryota; Metazoa; Chordata; Mammalia; Rodentia; Muridae
Description: predicted gene, 48155
Source: RNAcentral
CUGAGUAUGGAUGCCCUCAAAGAAAGCCUUUAUGAAUAAAUGUGUUUUAAAGGGGAUUACUUUCAGGAGCAGAAAUGACUCAAAGAUGGCUGAAUCAUAAAAUCUCCACCAUGGGUGACAACUCACAGAACCUGGAAACCUGAAGAAUAUGUUACAACAGGAUCCUCCGGUAGUACUAUAUCCAGUUUUCUGAGGAACCGCCAGACAGAUUUCCAGAGUGGUUGUACAAGCUUGCAAUCCCACCAGCAAUGGAGGAGUGUUCCUCUUUCUCCACAUCAGGUGCUUCUCUGCCAUUUGGUAUUCCUCAGGGAGAGGAAAAAAUAUGGGGCAGUUCCAGCUUCCAGCCAGUCAUUCCACAGCAAGACUUUGAAACCUGGGAAAGAAGAGGGAGGCUGCAGUGUAUCUUGGCUGGGAGAUGGCUGGACUGGGAAACAGGACUCUCUGUCAUUCCCUGUGUCAGUCUUGGAGUGACCCUGACCUCUUCCCAGCAUUCCUGACCCCACCUCUAACUUGGAGGAGAUGUUGA